AGAGUUUGAUCCUGGCUCAGAUUGAACGCUGGCGGCAUGCUUUACACAUGCAAGUCGAACGGCAGCACGGGCUUCGGCCUGGUGGCGAGUGGCGAACGGGUGAGUAAUGCGUCGGAACGCGCCGAGUAGUGGGGGAUAACGCAGCGAAAGCUGUGCUAAUACCGCAUACGUACUGAGGUAGAAAGUGGGGGACCUUCGGGCCUCACGCUAUUCGAGCGGCCGACGUCUGAUUAGCUAGCUGGUGGGGUAAAGGCUCACCAAGGCGACGAUCAGUAGCGGGUCUGAGAGGAUGAUCCGCCACACUGGGACUGAGACACGGCCCAGACUCCUACGGGAGGCAGCAGUGGGGAAUUUUGGACAAUGGGCGCAAGCCUGAUCCAGCCAUGCCGCGUGUCUGAAGAAGGCCUUCGGGUUGUAAAGGACUUUUGUCCGGGAGCAAAGCCUACUUGUUA
This 452-nucleotide ribosomal RNA is filed under the name uncultured bacterium. Its description in RNAcentral is "bacterial SSU rRNA". It matches the Rfam family "Bacterial small subunit ribosomal RNA", at positions 8 to 462 of the family's 1533-position model. The record is from RNAcentral.